This 76-nucleotide transfer RNA is filed under the name Betaproteobacteria bacterium HGW-Betaproteobacteria-7. Its description in RNAcentral is "tRNA-Ala". It matches the Rfam family "tRNA". Rfam says of the family: Transfer RNA (tRNA) molecules are approximately 80 nucleotides in length. Their secondary structure includes four short double-helical elements and three loops (D, anti-codon, and T loops). Lineage: Bacteria; Pseudomonadati; Pseudomonadota; Betaproteobacteria. The record is from RNAcentral.
GGGGGCAUAGCUCAGUUGGGAGAGCGUCUGGUUCGCAAUCAGAAGGUCGGCGGUUCGAUCCCGCCUGUCUCCACAA